GUCUACAGCCAUCCCACCCUGAAAGCGCCUGACCUCGUCUGAGCACAGAAGCUAAGCAGGGUCGGGCCUGGCCAGCACUGGGAUGGGAGCAUGAGUAACUGUCAGCA
This 107-nucleotide ribosomal RNA is filed under the name Cavia porcellus (domestic guinea pig). Lineage: Eukaryota; Metazoa; Chordata; Mammalia; Rodentia; Caviidae. The record is from RNAcentral.